AACAUCGCGGCAUAUAUUCGAAGUGUAGAGAUAGUU
RNAcentral lists this non-coding RNA (36 nucleotides) under Trypanosoma brucei brucei. The record is from RNAcentral. Lineage: Eukaryota; Euglenozoa; Kinetoplastea; Trypanosomatida; Trypanosomatidae.